AUACGUAGGGGGCGAGCGUUGUCCGGAAUGAUUGGGCGUAAAGGGCGCGUAGGCGGCGCGGUAAGUCUGGAGUGAAAGUCCUGCUUUCAAGGUGGGAAUUGCUUUGGAUACUGCCGCGCUUGAGUGCAGGAGAGGUUAUCGGAAUUCCCGGUGUAGCGGUGAAAUGCGUAGAGAUCGGGAGGAACACCAGUGGCGAAGGCGGGUAAACGGACUGCAACUGACGCUGAGGCGCGAAAGUGUGGGGAGCAAACAGGAUUAGAUACCCUGGUAGUCCACACUGUAAACGAUGAAUGCUAGGUGUAAGAGGUAUCGACCCCUUUUGUGCCGGAGUCAACACAAUAAGCAUUCCGCCUGGGGAGUACGGCCGCAAGGUUGAAACUCAAAGGAAUUGACGGGG
This 397-nucleotide ribosomal RNA is filed under the name uncultured bacterium. RNAcentral describes it as "partial 16S ribosomal RNA". It matches the Rfam family "Bacterial small subunit ribosomal RNA", at positions 523 to 918 of the family's 1533-position model. The record is from RNAcentral.